This 397-nucleotide ribosomal RNA is filed under the name uncultured bacterium. RNAcentral's name for it is "partial 16S ribosomal RNA". It matches the Rfam family "Bacterial small subunit ribosomal RNA", at positions 359 to 774 of the family's 1533-position model. The record is from RNAcentral.
ACUAUUGGACAAUGGGCGCAAGCCUGAUCCAGCCAGGCCGCGUGAGAGAUGAAGGCCUUGGGGUUGUAAAGCUCUGUCAGUGGGGAAGAUAAUGACGUUACCCGCAGAAGAAGUCCCUGCUAGCAUAGUGCCAGCAGCGGUGGUAAUACGAAGGGGGCUAGCGUUGUUCGGAUUUACUGGGCGUAAGGCGCACGUAGGCGGAUUGGUCAGUUAGGGGUGAAAUCGCGGAGCUCAACUCCGGAACUGCCUUUAAUACUGCCGGUCUAGAGAACGAGAGAGGUGAGUGGAACUCCUAGUGUAGAGGUGGAAUUCGUAGAUAUUAGGAAGAACACCAGUGGCGAAGGCGGCUCACUGGCUCGGUACUGACGCUGAGGUGCGAAAGCGUGGGGAGCAAACA